AAGCCUUAGGAGGAGAAACUACGGCCCCAGUCUGAUUACUAUGAGUGACUGGUUGUUCUGAAGGCUU
Pomacea canaliculata is the source of this 67-nucleotide small nucleolar RNA. The record is from RefSeq and is a predicted model, not a curated record. NCBI's taxonomy places the organism in Eukaryota, Metazoa, Mollusca, Gastropoda, Architaenioglossa, Ampullariidae.